AUAAAACGUUUUAUACACGUUUAUAUUACCAACCCUACGAAAAAUUAAAACUUUAAUUAAAAUGUUCAUAUUUCCGAAAAUAUUGAUCUUCAAAUUGCAAACAUAAAAUUUUUUAAAAAAGUGUUUCACUAAAUUAAUAGAUAAAUGGUUUUAAAAAUGUGAUAAUCCUAAUUAAUUAACGCUAGAUAUUCAUAAUAUUAUAUAAGGUAUCUAUAUGAACACACAGUAACACACUAUUUCAAACUACAUAAAACAAUGGCUAAUUUCAGAGCUAAUCAAAUGUAAAAACAUCUCGAAAAAUAUACUCAGUUUCUACUUGAAUUUUAGUUAAUAACUAAUUUGUUCAACAUUAAAUAAUCUAAAAUAAUUGUGUAGAAACAAGCACAAGUAAACAUAAAUUUCCCAUACUAGUCAAACGGUCCAAAUGUAAUUCUAUUCUAAUCAAUUGUAGAGCAUUUACCUGCCAUAGAAGGAAGGUAAUCAGAUUCAAUUACCAGACUGGUUAUAUAAUUUUAAUUGACUACCCAUCUACAGUAGAGAUACUUAAGUUUAAUAUAUUUAAAGGGAGUUUACUAAACAUGACUAUUACUUUGGUUAUUACUCUGGUUGUUACCUAAGUAUUUUCAAAAAGGACUAACCACGGGAUGAAGUAUUUAAAUUGGGUGGGUAGUCUUUACAGAUGAAUUUCACAUGUUUUUAUAUAAAUAAAAGACACAAUAUUAAAAUUAAUCUACAUUACAAUUUUUUAACACGUAUACUAAUAUAUAUAAAACAUAUAUUUAUAUCUGUGGUGGAUCCAAGGAGCAAUUACCCCUCCCCUCUUCCAUUUAAAUUGCAUUAUACUCUUAAUUUGAUUUUCAACAAUAAAUGUGUAACUUAUAUGAAUUGUCAAAAGCCCCUCUCUCUCUACCGUUAUCUUGUCUUGAUUUAUAUCUGAGUGAAAAUUUAACUAUGCAAUAAAUAAGAUGUAAAAAUGGAUAUCGACAAGUACCUAAUAUAUUGUAAAUAUGCAAAAACCAAUAUAUUCUGAAAGAUAACACCAAGCAUCAAUCUGAUAAAAAAAAUAAAUAGAGGUGAUAAAUUCUAAUGUUAUAAAAUUAUAACUAUUGUAAAAAUCCACAAUGAAAACUAACUUGACGAUAAAUAUUUGGGAGAGAAAAUCAGUAAGAUUUUAUUUCAUAUUUUUAAUAUAAUACUCAAACUGUAUGAAUAAAUAACAAGUAAUGAAUGAAUGAAUGAAAUUAUAUAUAUAUAUAUAAAUACACAAUUAUGAACUAUAAGAUAAAUUAAUAACCGUUUAUAACACAAUAAAUAAAGAUUGAUAGUCACUACUAAGGUACUUCCUACCUCUAUAUCAAAGUUCUUCA
Cinara cedri is the source of this 1367-nucleotide non-coding RNA. NCBI's taxonomy places the organism in Eukaryota, Metazoa, Arthropoda, Insecta, Hemiptera, Aphididae. The record is from the annotation of a GenBank genome assembly.